This 253-nucleotide ribosomal RNA is filed under the name uncultured bacterium. RNAcentral's name for it is "partial 16S ribosomal RNA". It matches the Rfam family "Bacterial small subunit ribosomal RNA", at positions 524 to 776 of the family's 1533-position model. The record is from RNAcentral.
UACGGAGGGUGCAAGCGUUAUCCGGAUUUAUUGGGUUUAAAGGGUCCGUAGGCGGAUCGUUAAGUCAGUGGUGAAAGCCCACAGCUCAACUGUGGAACUGCCAUUGAUACUGGCGAUCUUGAGUGCGUGUGAAGUUAGCGGAAUGUGUGGUGUAGCGGUGAAAUGCUUAGAUAUCACACAGAACACCAAUUGCGAAGGCAGCUGGCUAACACGCAACUGACGCUGAGGGACGAAAGUGUGGGGAUCAAACAGG